Molecule: ribosomal RNA, 1790 nt
Filed under: Wickerhamiella sp. 9E1
Lineage: Eukaryota; Fungi; Ascomycota; Dipodascomycetes; Dipodascales; Trichomonascaceae
Description: SSU rRNA
Rfam family: Eukaryotic small subunit ribosomal RNA
Source: RNAcentral
AGUCAUAUGCUUGUUUCAAAGAUUAAGCCAUGCAUGUCUAAGUAUAAGCAAUCUAUACAGUGAAACUGCGAAUGGCUCAUUAUAUCAGUUAUAGUUUAUUUGAUAUUGCCUUACUACAUGGAUAACUGUGGUAAUUCUAGAGCUAAUACAUGCUUCAAAACCCGUUUGGGUUGUAUUUAUUAGAUAAAAAACCAAUGCCUUCGGGCUCUUUUGGUGAUUCAUAAUAACUUCUCGAAGCGCAUGCCUUGUGCUGGCGCUGUUUCAUUCAAAUUUCUGCCCUAUCAGCUUUCGAUGGUACGGUAGUGGCGUACCAUGGCUACAACGGGUAACGGGGAAUUAGGGUUCGAUUCCGGAGAAGGAGCAUGAGACACGGCUCCUACAUCCAUGGAAGGCAGCAGGCGCGUAAAUUACCCAAUCCUGACACAGGGAGGUAGUGACAAUAUGUAACGAUAUACGGUCUAUGACUGUAUAAUCGGAAUGAGAACAAUUUAAUUUUACUUAUCGAGUAACGAUUGGAGGGCAAGUCUGGUGCCAGCAGCCGCGGUAAUUCCAGCUCCAAUAGCGUAUAUUAAAGUUGCUGCAGUUAAAAAGCUCGUAGUUGAACCUAGGAACAGGUGAUCAGGUCCACUUUUAGUGCGUACUUGACUCACCUGUCCUUUUGCCUGGACGUCUGUCUGUGUUUAAUCGCAUGGGCAGAAAGGUCAGGCCUUUUACUGUGAGGAAAUUAGAGUGUUCAAAGCAGGCGUUUCGCUCGUAUAUAUUAGCAUGGAAUAAUAGAAUAAGACGUAUGGUUUUAUUUUGUUGGUUUCUAAAAUCAUCGUAAUGAUAAAUAGGGACAGCUCGGGGGCAAAGGUAUUUAGAUGUUAGAGGUGAAAUUCUAUGAUCAUCUAAGGACCCACUACUGCGAAAGCAUUUGCCAAGGAUGUUUUCAUUAAUCAAGAACGAAAGUAUGGGGAUCGAAGACGAUUAGAUACCGUCGUAGUCUAUACCGUAAACUAUGCCGACUAGGGAUCGGAUGGGCGCUAUUUUAGCCCAUUCGGCACCUCGUGAGAAAUCAAAGUUUUUAGGUUCUGGGGGGAGUAUGGUCGCAAGGCUGAAACUUAAAGGAAUUGACGGAAGGGCACCACCAGGAGUGGAGCCUGCGGCUUAAUUUGACUCAACACGGGGAACCUCACCAGGUCCAGACACAAUAAGGAUUGACAGGAUUUGAGAGCACUUUCUUGAUUUUGUGGGUGGUGGUGCAUGGCCGUUCUUAGUUGGUGGAGUGAUUUGUCUGCUUAAUUGCGAUAACGAACGAGACCUUGACCUACUAGUUGGUCCGGAUAACUUUAUGUUGUUUCGUGAUCUCUUAGAGGGACUAUCAAAGAAAAUUUGGUGGAAGUUCGAGGCAAUAACAGGUCUGUGAUGCCCUUAGACGUUCUGGGCCGCACGCGCGCUACACUGAUACAGCCAGCGAGUUUAUAUCUUUGCCCGAGAGGGUUGAGUAACCUUGUUAAACUGUAUCGUGCUGGGGAUAGUCUGUUGCAAUUUUCAGACUUGAACGAGGAAUUCCUAGUAAGCGCAAGUCAUCAGCUUGCGUUGAUUACGUCCCUGCCCUUUGUACACACCGCCCGUCGUUACUACCGAUUGAAUGUAUCUGUGAAGACUCCGGACGUGAGCUUCUUUGUGGGAAACCGCAAUAAGCUUGCGAAAGCUGUAUGAACAGAUAUAUUUAGAGGAAGUACAAGUCGUAACAAGGUUUCCGUAGGUGAACCUUCGGAAGGAUCAUUAUUGAGAUCAUUUACACACCU